UGGGGAAUUUCGGACAAUGGGGGAAACCCUGAUCCAGCCAUCCCGCGUGUGCGAUGAAGGCCUUCGGGUUGUAAAGCACUUUUGGCAGGAAAGAAACGUCAUGGGUUAAUACCCCGUGAAACUGACGGUACCUGCAGAAUAAGCACCGGCUAACUACGUGCCAGCAGCCGCGGUAAUACGUAGGGUGCAAGCGUUAAUCGGAAUUACUGGGCGUAAAGCGUGCGCAGGCGGUUCGGAAAGAAAGAUGUGAAAUCCCAGAGCUCAACUUUGGAACUGCAUUUUUAACUACCGGGCUAGAGUGUGUCAGAGGGAGGUGGAAUUCCGCGUGUAGCAGUGAAAUGCGUAGAUAUGCGGAGGAACACCGAUGGCGAAGGCAGCCUCCUGGGAUAACACUGACGCUCAUGCACGAAAGCGUGGGGAGCAAACAGG
This 429-nucleotide ribosomal RNA is filed under the name Acidobacteriota bacterium. Its description in RNAcentral is "Acidobacteria bacterium partial 16S ribosomal RNA". It matches the Rfam family "Bacterial small subunit ribosomal RNA", at positions 355 to 776 of the family's 1533-position model. Lineage: Bacteria; Pseudomonadati; Acidobacteriota. The record is from RNAcentral.